Non-coding RNA from Lamprotornis superbus, 69 nucleotides. The record is from the annotation of a GenBank genome assembly. NCBI's taxonomy places the organism in Eukaryota, Metazoa, Chordata, Aves, Passeriformes, Sturnidae.
GACAGCUCAGUUGGUUAGGGCAUGGUGCUAAUAAAGCCAAGGUUGAGGGCUCAAUACCCAUAUGGGUCA